UAUUAUAAAUUAWGUAAAUUUAUUUGACUGGAGUAUUAAUAGUUAAGAUCUUUAAACUCAAAGAAUUUGGCGGUGUUUUAGUCUUUUCAGAGGAAUCUGUUCAUUAAUCGAUAGUACACGAUUGAAUUUACUUGUUUUGGUUAUCAACUCGUAUACCGUUGUCAUAAGAUUAUCUUGAUGAAGGAAUUUUCUUUAUUUUUUAUAAAUAAAUAUGUCAAAUCAAGGUGCGGUUUAUAAAUAAGAAUGUAAUGGAUUACAAUAAUAUAAAUUAAAUUAUGAAUAUUUAUUUGUAAGUAUAAAUUGAAGGUGGAUUUGAUUGUAAAUUAAUAUUUAUGUUAUAUGUAUAUGAAUGUUUUUGGAAAUGAUGAGUAUAAUAAUAUUGAUUUUUUGAUUGGGGCUCUAAAAUGUGUACAUAUCGCCCGUCGCUCUCGUAAUAAAAUGAG
RNAcentral lists this ribosomal RNA (443 nucleotides) under Microlandreva sp. n. May. RNAcentral's name for it is "partial 12S ribosomal RNA". Lineage: Eukaryota; Metazoa; Arthropoda; Insecta; Orthoptera; Gryllidae. The record is from RNAcentral.